AGUGAACGCUGGCGGUAGGCCUAACACAUGCAAGUCGAGCGGCAGCACAGUAAGAGCUUGCUCUUACGGGUGGCGAGUGGCGGACGGUGAGGAAUACAUCGGAAUCUACUUUUUCGUGGGGGAUAACGUAGGGAAACUUACGCUAAUACCGCAUACGACCUACGGGUGAAAGCAGGGGAUCUUCGGACCUUGCGCGAUUGAAUGAGCCGAUGUCGGAUUAGCUAGUUGGCGGGGUAAAGGCCCACCAAGGCGACGAUCCGUAGCUGGUCUGAGAGGAUGAUCAGCCACACUGGAACUGAGACACGGUCCAGACUCCUACGGGAGGCAGCAGUGGGGAAUAUUGGACAAUGGGCGCAAGCCUGAUCCAGCCAUACCGCGUGGGUGAAGAAGGCCUUCGGGUUGUAAAGCCCUUUUGUUGGGAAAGAAAAGCAGCAGGUUAAUACCCCGCUGUUCUGACGGUACCCAAAGAAUAAGCACCGGCUAACUUCGUG
Molecule: ribosomal RNA, 491 nt
Filed under: uncultured bacterium
Lineage: Bacteria
Description: partial 16S ribosomal RNA
Rfam family: Bacterial small subunit ribosomal RNA
Source: RNAcentral